Molecule: non-coding RNA, 101 nt
Organism: Acanthosepion pharaonis
Lineage: Eukaryota; Metazoa; Mollusca; Cephalopoda; Sepiida; Sepiidae
Source: the annotation of a GenBank genome assembly
AACACCGGUCACCCCCACCCCAUACGAUUGCCGAAGUUAAGCAACAUCGUGUCUGGCCAAUGCUUAGGUGGGUGACCACUUGGGAAUACCAGGUGCUGUAC